CAGCCGCCGCGGGAAAACGUAGGGUGCAAGCGUUAAUCGGAAUUACUGGGCGUAAAGCGUGCGCAGGCGGUUAUAUAAGACAGAUGUGAAAUCCCCGGGCUCAACCUGGGAACUGCAUUUGUGACUGUAUAGCUAGAGUACGGCAGAGGGGGAUGGAAUUCCGCGUGUAGCAGUGAAAUGCGUAGAUAUGCGGAGGAACACCGAUGGCGAAGGCAAUCCCCUGGGCCUGUACUGACGCUCAUGCACGAAAGCGUGGGGAGCAAACAGGAUUAGAUACCCCGGUAGUCCCUGUCUCUUAUAC
RNAcentral lists this ribosomal RNA (301 nucleotides) under uncultured bacterium. Its description in RNAcentral is "partial 16S ribosomal RNA". It matches the Rfam family "Bacterial small subunit ribosomal RNA", at positions 509 to 807 of the family's 1533-position model. The record is from RNAcentral.